RNAcentral lists this ribosomal RNA (497 nucleotides) under uncultured bacterium. RNAcentral's name for it is "partial 16S ribosomal RNA". It matches the Rfam family "Bacterial small subunit ribosomal RNA", at positions 28 to 507 of the family's 1533-position model. The record is from RNAcentral.
GACGAACGCUGGCGGCGUGCCUAAUACAUGCAAGUUGAGCGCUGAAGGUUGGUACUUGUACCAACUGGAUGAGCAGCGAACGGGUGAGUAACGCGUGGGGAAUCUGCCUUUGAGCGGGGGACAACAUUUGGAAACGAAUGCUAAUACCGCAUAAAAACUUUAAACACAAGUUUUAAGUUUGAAAGAUGCAAUUGCAUCACUCAAAGAUGAUCCCGCGUUGUAUUAGCUAGUUGGUGAGGUAAAGGCUCACCAAGGCGAUGAUACAUAGCCGACCUGAGAGGGUGAUCGGCCACAUUGGGACUGAGACCCGGCCCAAACUCCUACGGGAGGCAGCAGUAGGGAAUCUUCGGCAAUAGACGAAAGUCUGACCGAGCAACGCCGCGUGAGUGAAGAAGGGUUUCGGAUCGUAAAACUCUGUUGGUAGAGAAGAACGUUGGUGAGAGUGGAAAGCUCAUCAAGUGACGGUAACUACCCAGAAAGGGACGGCUAACUACGUG